GAUGAACGCUGGCGGCGUGCCUAAUACAUGCAAGUCGAGCGAACAGACGAGGAGCUUGCUCCUCUGACGUUAGCGGCGGACGGGUGAGUAACACGUGGAUAACCUACCUAUAAGACUGGGAUAACUUCGGGAAACCGGAGCUAAUACCGGAUAAUAUAUUGAACCGCAUGGUUCAAUAGUGAAAGACGGUUUUGCUGUCACUUAUAGAUGGUUCCGCGCCGCAUUAGCUAGUUGGUAAGGUAACGGCUUACCAAGGCGACGAUGCGUAGCCGACCUGAGAGGGUGAUCGGCCACACUGGAACUGAGACACGGUCCAGACUCCUACGGGAGGCAGCAGUAGGGAAUCUUCCGCAAUGGGCGAAAGCCUGACGGAGCCACGCCGCGUGAGUGAUGAAGGUCUUCGGAUCGUAAAACUCUGUUAUUAGGGAAGAACAACUGUGUAAGUAACUAUGCACGUCUUGACGGUACCUAAUCAGAAAGCCACGGCUAACUACGUG
Molecule: ribosomal RNA, 497 nt
Filed under: uncultured bacterium
Lineage: Bacteria
Description: partial 16S ribosomal RNA
Rfam family: Bacterial small subunit ribosomal RNA
Source: RNAcentral